This 3051-nucleotide long non-coding RNA is filed under the name Homo sapiens (human). Its description in RNAcentral is "HSALNT0258204". Lineage: Eukaryota; Metazoa; Chordata; Mammalia; Primates; Hominidae. The record is from RNAcentral.
CACAAGGUGGGAAUGGUGAUUUCCACCUCUCGGGAGAAGAGAGAAUGGGCCCGGAUCUGAGGGGCAUUAACAGGGGAGCAGAGUCUUACUGUGUCAAAUUCUAUCUUGUCCGUGACCUUUGGCGGGCUAUGUGCUGGCACGGAGAGGAAGUUGGAGCGAGGUGUCUGGACCAUGGCGAGGAAAUGGAUCAAUUCUUGCCCUCGUGUUCACUGAAUGAAGUAACUUACAGCCCCAGCUUUGCAGCCAGACAGAGCCCUGGGCAAGUUACCCUGGCCUCGGAGCCCCCACACCUGACACCCCACGUGUUCUCAGCUGUAACGUGGGUUGCAGACACCCGUGUUGCCAAUGUUAUUACCAUGAUUGUUGUUUUCUUCCACUGGCAGAUGCACAGGAAAUGGCUCUCUCUGCUGAACUGAGCACCUCUGGGGCUCCUUCCUGGCCUGGGGUUUCUUUGAGACAGGCCCAGGAGAGUGACAGCCGGGCCUGAGAGGGAAGGACAGGCUGUGACUCACAAAGGUGCAGGAGUCCUCUCCCCGGGUUCACCGGGAGCUGACGGGCUAGGCCGUGGGAGGCCUUGAGACCAAGCUCCGACUUUGGAGAUGGGCCAGGCUUGGCUGGGCGCCUCCAGUGGUUUUGAACAGGGGGCGCCAUGAGUUAACUGGUGCUUUCAGAAAGCUAAACCUGGCAGCAAGUGGCUUCUUCAGAGAAGGGACUCACCCAACAUCAGAAUGUUUACCAAAAUCAAUCACGCGGUGGGCCAUAGAGAAAGUCUCCUUACACUGCAAAGAAUCUGUGUGGUUAUACCGUGUCUGCGAUCACAGUGAAAUACAACUAGAUAUUAAAAGCAAAAGAAUAGCUCAGAAAUUCUGUUUGGAAGCUAAAUAGCAUGUUUAAAAUAGAAACAAUAAAAGAAAUCAGAAAAAUCAAGGAUGGCAUGAUUUUGAGGAUGCUACAUGCCCAAAUGUGUGGCACACAGAGAGAGGGAAAUCUAUGCCUUUAAAUCUAUUUAUCAGGAAACAAGAAGGGUUGAAAACAAACCAGCUAGGUGUUUGCUCCUAGAAACUGGAAAAAGAGCUACAGAGCAAACCUAAAGGAACAAGAAAGAUGACAGGAAUAAGGACAAGGGCAGGCACAAAUAAAUAGAGAUUAGCAAAGGUGCAGACAGGUUUUUUGGAAAGAUUAACAACGACAGAGGGAGGGCCACGAGAUGAUGCUGUCAGGAGGGCGUGCAGGACACAGGAUGCUUUGGGCUGUAGGUGUGGGGAAAAGGCAACCAGGUUUUUCCAUGCAUCUCACAGGACUGGUUUGCCUGGGACAGCCCUGGUUUCUGCCUGUUGUCCUGGCUAUCACUCAUGGCAUCUCCCAUCCCCUCAAAGGGUCCUGCUUUGGAAGGUAACUGACACCAGUGCUGUCCAAUAGGAACUGAGACCCUUAUGUAACUACUGAGAUGUGUGGUUGGUGCAAAUUCACAUCAGAUUUUGAAGACUUAGUAUGAGAACAAGAAAGUAAAACAUCUCAUACAUACGUGUGUGUGUGUGUGUGUGCGUGUAUGUUUUAUUUUUAUUUUUAUUUUUUUGAGAUGGAGUCUCGCUCUGUCACGCAGGCUGGAGUGCAAUGGCACGAUCUCAGCUCACUGCAACCUCCUACUCCCGGGUUCAAAUGAUUCUCCUGCCUCACCCUCCCGAGUAGCUGGGAUUACAGGUGCCACCACCACGCCCAGCUAAUUUUUGUAUUUUUAGUAGAGAUGGGGUUUUGCCAUGUUGGCCAGGCUGGUCUGGAACUCCUGACCUCAAGUGAUCCAACUGCCUCGGCCUCCCAAAAUGCUGGGAUUACAGGUGUGAGCCACCACACCUGGCCUCAUUAAUAUUUUUUAUAUUGAUUACAAGUUCAAUAAUAUUUUAGAUCUAUUGAAUUAAGAAUUAAUACAUCACUAAAAUUAUUUCCACCUGGUUCUUUGAUGUGAUUACUAGAAAAUAAAACAUUACUUCUGUGGCUUGCAUUCUACUUUUGUGUUCAGUGCUGAUUGACACGGUCACCCCAGCCAUGGGCGGGACGCUGGGAUGGGCCUGGUUAAAGGCAAAGGCUUCGGUUCAGAUGCAGACCCCAGCACUAACUUGUCUUAGUCAAAUAAUACCAACUCCUUACGUUUCAAUUCCCCCUUCUCUAAAGUGGCAGUAGGAUGGGUCUCGGUCUCCUAAGAUUUGGGGAAGUUCCACUUAGGUAACUCGCGUAAAGCACUCAGCGCUGUGCGGUUGGCAUUCAUUAAGUAUUAGUUGCCAGUCAUAAAACAGCAUAACGAUGAGAUGCUUUUCCCCCCACAGCCCUGUGAUGCCACUUUAUUGCUUAGGAAGUGAUGGUACAUGAAAUGUUCAGUGGCUUGCCCAUGGCCUCAAGAGAGCAAAGCUGGCCUUCCCACCUCACCACAUGACACUGGGGUAAGAUGGACAGCGGGAUCUGUUGCCUGUGCUCCUGUGAGCCGGCUGGCCUGGCAGAGGGGGCCUCUUUGCUUCUAACCACCCUUCCUUCCGCCAGCUCAUCCUACUCUUCCCUAGAAGCCAUCUCUGCCCACCAGCCCCCACUAAUCUCAGCCCAUCCUGGCCUCGAGUGAGGAGAGGAUGUUCUCUUGGCCUUCUCUGCACACUCCGGGUUCCCCAAGUUUGGACCUUCGACUUUCCCCCUCUUUCUCCCCACUUGGUGCCCCCAGCACGUAGCAUGAAGUUUGGUCCUCCACAAAGCUUGGCUGGGAGCUUGACAAAUGUUCCUUGGUUUGUCAAACAAACUCUCCGGCUUGAACUAAGUGCCUUUCUUUCAGAUUUCAGAAUGGAUGGGCCUCAGCCAUGGCAAAUCUGAGAGUCUUUGUGUGCAGAAAUGCCCUUGGAUGCCCUUGUCUGUGCAUGGUUGCCAGAGCUGGUCACCCCAGCCAGACAUGCUGGUCUGGGCACCUCCCGGGAGGAGCCCCGGGUGAUGGCACCUGUUUUCAUGAAUGACACAGCAAUCUCCACUUCAGUAAGGGCCGACCAUACUGUUGAUUCCUGCCCUGAGACCCUUCUC